RNAcentral lists this unclassified non-coding RNA (278 nucleotides) under Hevea brasiliensis (rubber tree). Lineage: Eukaryota; Viridiplantae; Streptophyta; Magnoliopsida; Malpighiales; Euphorbiaceae. The record is from RNAcentral.
GGGGAAUUCACCAAUGACUCGGGCAGGUAGCCACUGAACAUAUUUGUGUUGGCUGAGAAGUGCUCAAGUUUUCCAAGCUUGCCAAAAAUAUUAGGAAGAUUUCCAGAAAACCUGUUGGAGGAGAUGUCCAACUCAACAAGGUUAGAAAGGUUACCAAGUUCGGCAUUCAGUUGUCCAGAAAAUAUAUUAUCUUCAAGGUGCAGUACAUGAAGAUUUUGCAGCUGCAAGAGACUCUCAGGAAAAUUUCCUGACAGACUAUUGCUAUUAAGGAAGAGAUG